This 747-nucleotide long non-coding RNA is filed under the name Meleagris gallopavo (turkey). RNAcentral describes it as "lncRNA (ENSMGAG00000021147.1)". Lineage: Eukaryota; Metazoa; Chordata; Aves; Galliformes; Phasianidae. The record is from RNAcentral.
GCGAGCUCUGGAAAUCAGCGCGGUGUUGGGAGAGCGUCGGUGAACUGGGAUGAAAAAGCUACAGAGAAGCCUGGAAUUUCAUGUGCAUGCCUACAGCAACUGGAUUCUAUCAGCAACUCACACUAUCAGGAAGAGGGCUUCAUCAGAUGAGAGCAGACCUCCUGCUCACUGCCUCUAAGUUUGAAACCAGCUCUAAAGGGGAGAUAACAAAAAACAGCAAAAUCAGAGGAGCAGAGGUGUCUGGCAAGAACCUUAGGAAGCCUACUGGAAAGAAGGUUCUCAGUGGAUCUGGUUCCAUCACCACUACGUUUCAACCAGAUGCUGUCAUUCAGCAUUUCAAAGAGAAUCAGAAAGGUAACCUGAUGAAGACCUUAAAGAUAUAAAGGCCAACCAUGGAGGCAGGGGGUACUUAAAAACAGAUGCGAUGGAGUGAAUCCAGGUUUGCCCGUGAAACUUUGUUUUUUACAUGAGAAGAACGACAGCUUCAGUAUAUAAUAAAUCGCGAAUUUUUUAAGAGAACAAAAAGAGGUCUUUAAGCCGACCGAGAAAGAACGCAGCCAAAAGGAUCAAGCUGACCAUCGCAGGGCUAACUUACGAAGACCUCGCUGUUCGGUUCCACAUGAAAGACGCUCAAAAGGCAGGGCAACGGACGACAACACAGAGCCCUGGCACAGACUGGAGGCGCACCGACAGAGCAGACAGAGCUACGGGUGCAGCACCGCCGCACCGCUCUCCUCACGGCGCGGC